UGUUGCAAGAACGUCUAUGCAAUGCACGGUGCGUACGCGGUCGCCUUGGUGGCGCUUUGUGCCACCAACGCCGUUGUCUGGGCCAAGCUUGGUUCACCGGGAGGACCGCUGAAGCUGCCGCGCGACAUGAUUGACAGCUUCGAGACCCAACCAUCCUGGAGGGCAUUUUCUACUAUUCCACCAAGGACUGCGUCGUGAUGGACAUCGAGUAUCACGGACACCAAUGCCUCCUCUGGACACUCUGGAAGUUUAAAGACUCCGUGCCGCAAGACUGCAUCGACCAUUUCGUCGACACGUGCGGUGUCGUGCCUCCGGCGCACAGCAGAGACCUCUGCCCUGACGGCGAAGGAGACUACUAGGUCUACGAAACCAUAAAAGGCCUCCGAAACGUUCAGCCUGCGUGGUGUUGCGCAGCCCGAUCACGAAGGCUAUGAUCUAACGUUGUCGAGGGGGACGAUAAAAAAAAUUGACUCGCCAACAAACGCUCCGCCCGACUCUACCUCCGACAAGUGGGAGAAGAGCCUAAGAAGCCCGCUCCUACAAGACCAGCAAUGGGCCGUCCAGCAGGCUCGCGCAGCGGCCGCCAGGUAUUCCCUGUCGGUCCCUGUGUGGGAGACGCCCACUGCGCACUGACGUGCGUCCUGCAGGACUUUUAUUAAAGUUUUUCCAAUCCAAUCGCCAACCUGGCCCUACGAAAGUUGAUGUCCAGCGAAGCGGUUGAAAACCACCCCUGCUGCUUCUUAAGGGGUGUGUGCAAUGCUUGAUUGCUGAAUUCCUGCUCCGGCCCAUUAUUCAGCCACAGGGGUAUAUGGGCGUGCGGGUAUCUCCUGUGCUGUAAUUCCAAUACGACCAGCGGCGGCACGCUAACACUGGUCGUAUUGCCGUUUCUAUUCCCUUUGUCGCUCCUCGUAAUAAUGCUGCUCCUCGGGAGUUUUGUAAGAAUGAACUUUCAGCGGUUCCGC
Dermacentor albipictus is the source of this 962-nucleotide non-coding RNA. Lineage: Eukaryota; Metazoa; Arthropoda; Arachnida; Ixodida; Ixodidae. The record is from RefSeq and is a predicted model, not a curated record.